RNAcentral lists this unclassified non-coding RNA (3189 nucleotides) under Hevea brasiliensis (rubber tree). The record is from RNAcentral. Lineage: Eukaryota; Viridiplantae; Streptophyta; Magnoliopsida; Malpighiales; Euphorbiaceae.
UUUUUUUUUUUUUUGGGUGGUUCCCAUUAUUGAACCAUUUAUUGAAAUAGAUGGAAACUACUUUUGGGGACACAGUUUGGAGUUACUGAUAGAUGGGGAUGAAACUUAAUUAGACUCUAUUUUUGCAAAAGGUGGAACUGCCUUUCUUAAACAGCAAAGGCCCUACAUUUUUUGCAUUUUCUUCUUUGCAGGAGUUUGGGAGGAAGAGGAAGCAGCAAAUAACUUGGAAAUUAAAAACAAUGAUACAAGAAGCAGCAGAAGGGAAGGAAAAAGCUAUAGAAUGUUUUGGAUUUUGGUUAGCCAGAAAAAUAAAAUGAAGACAACUCCAGAGACAGGUUCAACUUGUCAUCAUUUCUAGGAUAGAGAUUGAUUACUUGAUUAUGAAGUGUCAACCAGGGCAAUUGGGCAUUGUUAGUUGGAAGAGAAUGACAUAACAAUUAACUGAUUCACCAAAAGAGUAUUUACAGACAUGACCACAAUUACCAACAAGAAAUGCCACAUAAUUAGAAAAUGAAAUCAAGCCACUGAAAACUCGCAGGUCAUAAAACACACAGGAAUAUGACAAUUUCUAUAGUACAACAAUUGCAAAUCUAUUGCCCAUUUCAUAAUCUGAAUCUACAGAAAAUGUCCCUGCGUGACUUGAAUCUAAAUAAAACAAUAAUGACAGUAAAAUCAGAUUACAUGGGGACAGCACGUGCCUUGUACAUACAAAUAUACGCCAUAUGCCAGUCACCUCCCCCAGAUAGUUUAGUUAUAUCAUCCUCCCGCUGUGGAAUGGGAUUAUCAUCAUCAAACUCAAUCCAUUUACCAUUUUCUUGCUUUACCCAGGCAACAUAAUGCCCUGAAUCAGCACUCCUCCCCUUGUGGGUCAGCACAGCAACCAAAUCAUAUAUUCCAGUUAAAUGUGAUUCUCUGUCAGAUGAACCUCCUUCUUCCGAGGUAGCCUUUGAAGAUUCUCCGCUUCCAUUGGAUGAUCCCUCUGCAUCUGUCAUCUUGACAUCAUUAUCUUUUGAACCAGAACUCUUCUCAUUUGCUUUCAGGCCAAGCUUCUUACUUUCCUCAUCUCUUAAAGACUGAUAGUUAUUAGAAGUUAAUAACAACCAUGACACCACCAAAGCACACAAACAAUUAUCAUCAUUUAGAUUUAAAUUGAACUCCACAUAUAUCAUAUACCUGGCGAGGUGCUUCCAAUUUUUUGUGGAGAUCAUCUGAACAGAAAUCAUAGACAUCCAGCUCCAAAGGAUAAUCCACUUUCUAAGAACACAAGCAUGUUCAAAAGAAAAUACAAUUAUUGCUUUCAUGAAUCUUUUUACAUAACGAAUCUUUUUACAUAACCAAUCUUUAAACCUAGACCAAAGGGCUUCUUUGAUACAAAACUAACCAUCUUGUAUUUAGUUAAUUUUUUCUUUCAGCAUCACAUAAACAAAAGAUUACCCGCAAAAUCUUGGCCUUCUGAUUUGACUCUCUCUUCCAGAAAAAACGAACAAACUGAACAGUCAAGUACCUUGGCAAGGCAUUGAUGCGAGACUCUUUCAAGUAAAUUGCACUACGCCCUAAGGAAGGGGAAGCCUUCUCCAACUCAGAUUUCAGACCAUGCUUUAGUCCUUCAUGCAAAUGGUUCACCUCCUGCGAUAUGUGGCAUUUAAGUGAAUAAACUGAUUCUGUCUCUGAGCUCUCUUCACCACUUUCUUGGCAAUGGAUUCUGCUUACAAGUUCGAUUCCAAAAAGUGCCUUCGUUGUAUCCAAAUUUUCACUGGGACUUGAUGAUCUAAGAGACUGUGAAAGAGUGUAUAAAAGUUGUGUCCAACACUCUUCAGCAUCCUGCUGCAUGAAUACACCAUUAUGCAAUUGGCCAAAUUGUGGAUACUUUUUGCGUAACACCAUCCAAAACUGCAUAGGUGCCACAGGCUUGACACUUUUAUCAAGCUCAUUAAACAGUUCUCGAGUUGCAGCUGUCAACAUAUGAGAUGUCUGAUCCAAAUCAUUUCUCUUUUCAGAUGGAUACUUGAGUAAAGCAGACUUCAAUUCUGGAACAGAAUGCAAACAUUGUAUCGUGGAGUUCAUGUAACAGGUGUUUCCCAGAUUAAAUAGGCCAGCAGUAUGACCCUGGUAGCAGGAAAAACAUUAGCAAUAUGCUUGCACCAAAGCUAAAUAAGAACAUUGGCUAAGAAAAAAAAGGUCAACUAGCAUUAAUGCUUGUUUGCAACAAACUGAACAUCACUACAAAACAUUAAUUUUGAACUACAAAGCUUCAAAAAUAUCAGGUGACAUAGGAAAGCAUGCUUGAGUAAUUUUGAAACAAUAGCCAGAAGCUUAAACUACAUCAAACAUUAAUAAAGGGAGAAUUAGGUAUGUUCCAUUCCCAAAAACCUGAUAAAGGGAGAGACUUGUGCAGAUUAAUGGCCAGUGCAAAACUAUUUAAACCUCUGUGAAUCCAGAUCCUUCAGGACUAACAAAAAAUUUGGCUCCAAAAAAUGUUGGAGGAAAAGAAUCCAUGCAGCCAAAGUUUGGAAUUAAGCUCAGUUGAGUUGAAUUCUGCAAGAAAUAUGUUGAGAAUGACAAGGAUCUACAAAUGCUAGUCAUAAAUAUUUAAUUAAACCAAGGUCAACCGAGGUAAGCCCACAGAUGAUAGAUUAAUGAUGAGAUGGUCAGAACAGUCUGAACUAAUAAUUAGAAAACUCAGUAUCACAGCUUUGCUAACAAAGCUUUAAGCAACUUCAAACUAAAAAGGAAGCACAGAAUGAAAUUCAGGCAAAUAUUUUAAUCAUACAUCUUGACAUAGAAUCAAAGGAAUUCUUCCAUUGCUACAGCUUAUACAGUCAAUAGGCCAAAAGUGAAGUGUUCUUUCAUUGGUAUAGAACCAAAGAAAUGGAGAAACAAAAAGUUAGUAACAACCAGUAAACGGGAAGAAUUUCACAUAUGUUUAAUUAGCAUGUGCAAUAUAUCUAUAAUCAACAGCAUUUAUUAAAGAUACAUCUUUAGUUAAUACAUUUCGUUCAUAAAUGACCUAAAAAUCAUGAGGGUGUCAAUGUUAUACAGCCACUAACAGGUUAUACUAUGUAAUGAUACUCCAUAAAUUAAUAGGUCAUGUAUAAAUAAAUAAAUAUAUAAAAGAAACUGAAGAACUCUACCACAGCAACCACUUGUUCUUCUUCUGGAAGAUCCUCCAUGAAAACAGGGCCCUUCUCU